ACAAGCGGUGGAGUAUGUGGUUUAAUUCGAUGCAACGCGAAGAACCUUACCUGGUCUUGACAUCCCGGAGACCCUUAGGAAACUAGGGGUGCUUCCAUCUGGAAGAAUCUGGAGACAGGUGCUGCAUGGCUGUCGUCAGCCCGUGUCGUGAGAUGUUGGGUUAAGUCCCGCAACGAGCGCAACCCUUGCCUUUAGUUGCCAGCAGUUCGGCUGGGCACUCUAAAGGGACUGCCGGUGUUAAACCGGAGGAAGGUGGGGAUGACGUCAAGUCCUCAUGGCCUUUAUGACCAGGGCUACACACGUACUACAAUGGCCGAUACAAAGGGCAGCGACACUGCGAGGUGAAGCCAAUCCCGUAAAAUCGGUCUCAGUCCGGAUUGGAGUCUGCAACUCGACUCCAUGAAGUUGGAAUCGCUAGUAAUCGUGGAUCAGCAUGCCACGGUGAAUACGUUCCCGGGCCUU
Molecule: ribosomal RNA, 462 nt
Filed under: uncultured Desulfobulbus sp.
Lineage: Bacteria; Pseudomonadati; Thermodesulfobacteriota; Desulfobulbia; Desulfobulbales; Desulfobulbaceae
Description: bacterial SSU rRNA
Rfam family: Bacterial small subunit ribosomal RNA
Source: RNAcentral